This 68-nucleotide transfer RNA is filed under the name human gut metagenome. It matches the Rfam family "tRNA". Rfam says of the family: Transfer RNA (tRNA) molecules are approximately 80 nucleotides in length. Their secondary structure includes four short double-helical elements and three loops (D, anti-codon, and T loops). Further hydrogen bonds mediate the characteristic L-shaped molecular structure. tRNAs have two regions of fundamental functional importance: the anti-codon, which is responsible for specific mRNA codon recognition, and the 3' end, to which the tRNAs corresponding amino acid is attached (by aminoacyl-tRNA synthetases). tRNAs cope with the degeneracy of the genetic code in two manners: having more than one tRNA (with a specific anti-codon) for a particular amino acid; and 'wobble' base-pairing, i.e. permitting non-standard base-pairing at the 3rd anti-codon position. The record is from RNAcentral. RNAcentral also lists the same sequence under 1 other name.
CCUGUAGCUCAGUUGGAUAGAGUGUUUGGCUACGAACCAAAAGGUCGGGGGUUCGAAUCCCUCCAGGC